This 248-nucleotide ribosomal RNA is filed under the name uncultured bacterium. RNAcentral's name for it is "partial 16S ribosomal RNA". It matches the Rfam family "Bacterial small subunit ribosomal RNA", at positions 524 to 772 of the family's 1533-position model. The record is from RNAcentral.
UACGAAGGGGGCUAGCGUUGCUCGGAAUUACUGGGCGUAAAGCGCACGUAGGCGGUCUUUUAAGUCGGGGGUGAAAUCCUGGAGCUCAACUCCAGAACUGCCUCGAUACUGGAAGACUUGAGUCCGGGAGAGGUGAGUGGAACUGCGAGUGUAGAGGUGAAAUUCGUAGAUAUUCGCAAGAACACCAGUGGCGAAGGCGGCUCACUGGCCCGAUACUGACGCUGAUGCGCGAAAGCGUGGGGAGCAAA